This 406-nucleotide long non-coding RNA is filed under the name Chinchilla lanigera (long-tailed chinchilla). RNAcentral's name for it is "lncRNA (ENSCLAG00000023997.1)". The record is from RNAcentral. Lineage: Eukaryota; Metazoa; Chordata; Mammalia; Rodentia; Chinchillidae.
GUUCAAGUGACUCUAAGAGUCACUUGAACAGACUGCUAGGGAAGGAAGUCAUCAGGAGGAAAUCUGGACAUAGUUAGGAAAUGUGGAAGCAGUAAGAAGAUGCUGCUGGCGGAGCCUUGUCCUCACAAAGGACUUUGAUCGUCUCCAUAUCAGAAAUGCAGUGUGUGUGUGUGUGUGUGUGUGUUUAUGUAUUUAUCUACAUUCUUAGGUCAAUCGAACUUCAGAUGUGCAGAAAGAGUGCUCCGUUUGGAAGAAGUUCAACCUGACUUCUGAAUUCUGAGAUCACACUGCACAGCGCUUUUUUCCCACUAGACACUGGAUUCUGCCUUCAAGUCCUACUUCAGUAUGUACAUAGAAAUUCCACAGUGUUCCUUGCCAGGAAUUAUCCUGCAAAGGGCAAUCCUCA